RNAcentral lists this ribosomal RNA (590 nucleotides) under uncultured bacterium. Its description in RNAcentral is "partial 16S ribosomal RNA". It matches the Rfam family "Bacterial small subunit ribosomal RNA", at positions 355 to 1375 of the family's 1533-position model. The record is from RNAcentral.
UGGGGAAUUUUGGACAAUGGGCGAAAGCCUGAUCCAGCAAUGCCGCGUGUGUGAAGAAGGCCUUCGGGUUGUAAAGCACUUUUGUCCGGAAAGAAAUCCUUGGCUCUAAUACAGUCGGGGGAUGACGGUACCGGAAGAAUAAGCACCGGCUAACUACGUGCCAGCAGCCGCGGUAAUACGUAGGGUGCAAGCGUUAAUCGGAAUUACUGGGCGUAAAGCGUGCGCAGGCGGUUUGCUAAGACCGAUGUGAAAUCCCCGGGCGUCAACCUGGGCAACUGGCAUGGUGACUGGCAGGCUAGAGUAUGGCAGAGGGGGGUAGAAUUCCACGUGUAGCAGUGAAAUGCGUAGAGAUGUGGAGGAAUACCGAUGGCGAAGGCAGCCCCCUGGGCCAAUACUGACGCUCAUGCACGAAAGCGUGGGGAGCAAACAGGAUUAGAUACCCUGGUAGUCCACGCCCUAAAACGAUGUCAACUAGUUGUUGGGGGAUUCAUUUCCUUAGUAACGUAGCUAACGCGUGAAGUUGACCGCCUGGGGGAGUACGGUCGCAAGAUUAAAACUUAAAUGAAUUGACGGGGUCAUAGCUGUUUCCU